Molecule: long non-coding RNA, 2731 nt
Organism: Petromyzon marinus (sea lamprey)
Lineage: Eukaryota; Metazoa; Chordata; Hyperoartia; Petromyzontiformes; Petromyzontidae
Source: RefSeq, a predicted model, not a curated record
CACGACGCUGCGGAGACCGACACGAGGAGCACAGGCAGAGGCAGUGAGCGACCAGGACGGGGACACGUGCGCGCACGCAGACACGGCAGCAGCGUGGGACAUGAGUGAAGACAACCCUGCAACUCAAGGAGGGAGCAGGAUUUGGCUCGCAAACCGUGGGGUUUACGUCAAAAAAGAAUUAGCCAGUUUCUACUAUAGAGUCCAUAGAUAUUAAUAUUAUAGCGCUUAGAAAGUUUUAUUGUAGCGCGGGCGAGGGGAUGGUGGGAGGGGGUAGCGGCCCAGCCCCCAGCCUGCCAAGGUGCCACCUCGGCCAGCUGGGCAAUCCAGGCGAGGCCGGGGGCUCUGCACGCGACUAGGCCUCACGACACCACUCUGUCAGCGACAUUGCAUCCGAUCGCUCACCACACAUGAGCACCGCCGCCGUGAUGACGCUACCUGGAUGAAGCUGCAGAGGAACGAGGAUGAGCACACGUUGACUGCGCCCACGGUGCCGGCUUUCGAGCCACCGCUGCUGCGCGCACGACCUGCUGACACCGCUCCUGCCUUCACAGCCUCCUACCUACUGCUGUCCAGUUUAAGGAUGGUUUUUUUUUCUCUUCACUAUUCAUAAUCCUCAAAAGCCCAAUACGUAUGUAAUAUGGUACCUUUGCACACUUAUGUAAUGUGACGGUGCUGAUCCUGCACACGUAUCGCCGAUUCGAGUUAUUUCACAUCACUCCCCCAACUCUACUGGACACCCCCUGCUUCACGAUCACUGUCUCCUAUUAAAUCCUCUCAUUGAUCUUCGUUAAAUGGAAGGGGGGGGAGGGUCAUUUCAAGCUUUGCAUUAUGCCAGUCGAUGGGCUGAGUGUACAAACGAUGCAUAUUCUUUCAUGUGACCAAGUGAAGAAAUAAAUACUAGCUUUAAUCCAUAUGGGACUUUGACACAUCUUAAGUUUUUGAUAUUAAGAAUCUAAUUAUGUCUCUCUUCAAUUACCACUAUCAGCUUGCCAUAUGAGCAGCAAUGGAACAUGGCCUGUAUGUCACUUUGGAUGUCACAGGCGAAGACGUGUUACAGCUGGCGUCGACCCACAGCAAAAACCUUUUCAUCACUAGAGGUCAGUUUUAGCAUUGGGACGUCUUACUUAUCGACGUGAUCUAUUCAAUCACCGACUCAUGUCUGUCUCAGAUAAGUUGGAGUAUCGGCAGAAUAGAGUCAAUCACGGAGGCGUGAGGCAUGCCCGUAGCAUCUCUUGGCAUAUUGACAUCAUUUGCUCGUUCAUCAGGCAGGCAUGAUGUAUGCCUCUGCCUGACAGCUGAAUAUAUAUGAAUGAGCUAUCAAAUAAGGGUCCUUGCCUGUAAACAUUGGGCAGUUCGCGAGCAAUGGUUUGAGUGGGGCAGGCUCUGCUGGUAAGUCACUGAAUAUCAAAACCAAAGUUAAGCCAAUGCUGCUGACGAGAUGCACUCCCAAAGGGCCACAUGGAUACACGUUUGCUAUUUUUAAAUAAAGAGAAGCAUUUCAGGAGUCGGAAUUUCAUUAUUUUCCUAUCAAACAUCCAGCUGAAUGGUGCUACGGUUAGAGUGCUUGACUUACAAACAGAGGUUUCUGAGUUCAUACUCCAGACAAGUGCUGACUCACCCUGUCUUUCCUCCGGGGACCAUUUGAGUGCAAAGCUCAGCAGCAGUCAUCUUAUCAGAAUCAGAAUAUUUAUUGCUACUGGAGGUAUCCGAUGACCAAUAAAGCUCUUUUUCACAGAUGUUCAGUCGGGGCGGAUAAGAACGUUACGUAGAAAUGAGGACCAACAACAGAGUGGAUAUUAUAGAACAUGUGAUAGAUUGCGUGUCAUGAUUACAACCCAAAUAUAAAAUCUGAAAUAUGACCAAAACUCUAUCACCACCCAGUGUCUAUGCACUGCUAGAUGAAGGACUUUUCAUGCUCUCACCAACGACGGUUCCUGGGAUGCUACCAUUGAUCUCUCUCCUCCGUACAAAUUGAUCUUGUGGCUCCAUCUGCACAGCGAACAUCCUCCCAGGGACAUUUUCUCCUCACCGAGUUUAUUACCAUCGUUGUUGUACUUGUUAUUUGGCUGAUAUUCUAUCCAUUACUUUGGAGCUGUGUCCUGCUCAAGCCCACGUGCUUUUUCGCCCCAUCAUCCUCUGAGCUAAGUGUGCUUCUUCACGUCUCUCACAACACAACAGUCCCAAACAAUUAGAAAGGUUCCUCCAGCCUCCUUGCACAGAGGUCUCUCUUGAGAAGGCUGAUGCAUCUCAAUGGGAUUUCACCUUGCUAACGAGAAUACUCAAUAACAAAAGGAGUGGAAUAACUGUUUACAAACUCGGGGCACAUUAGCACCAUUUUUACAUUGGAUUAUUCAUUAAACGCACACAGAUCCACCGUAUAGCCUUAACAGACUUUUUUUCUGGGGAAAGUGCUGUUAGCGAGCACCUGCGAAGGCCAGCACCGCACACAAGUGGGUGGGCGGCCAGCACCACGACCUUUGUCUCCCCAGUGACGUUGUUUUACACACUCAUUUGAGCUCGAGUCGACCACACGCAGCCCCAGGACCGGUUAAAACAUUCACCACUGUUAUUGAUCGUGAGCGGGAAUCGAACUCGGGUGGCCGAGUUUGUAGUGCAGUGCGCUAACCACGACACGACCUCUCUCCACAGUGACUCACAUGUUAAUAACAAUAAUGAAUGGUGAGCCCUUUCACAAACCACUGCUGGAUGAGGACCUCCCCACGCCGUGUCA